RNAcentral lists this ribosomal RNA (1564 nucleotides) under Escherichia coli. RNAcentral's name for it is "partial 23S ribosomal RNA". It matches the Rfam family "Bacterial large subunit ribosomal RNA", at positions 1252 to 2801 of the family's 2925-position model. The record is from RNAcentral. Lineage: Bacteria; Pseudomonadati; Pseudomonadota; Gammaproteobacteria; Enterobacterales; Enterobacteriaceae.
GAAGGUGUGCUGUGAGGUAUGCUGGAGGUAUCAGAAGUGCGAAUGCUGACAUAAGUAACGAUAAAGCGGGUGAAAAGCCCGCUCGCCGGAAGACCAAGGGUUCCUGUCCAACGUUAAUCGGGGCAGGGUGAGUCGACCCCUAAGGCGAGGCCGAAAGGCGUAGUCGAUGGGAAACAGGUUAAUAUUCCUGUACUUGGUGUUACUGCGAAGGGGGGACGGAGAAGGCUAUGUUGGCCGGGCGACGGUUGUCCCGGUUUAAGCGUGUAGGCUGGUUUUCCAGGCAAAUCCGGAAAAUCAAGGCUGAGGCGUGAUGACGAGGCACUACGGUGCUGAAGCAACAAAUGCCCUGCUUCCAGGAAAAGCCUCUAAGCAUCAGGUAACAUCAAAUCGUACCCCAAACCGACACAGGUGGUCAGGUAGAGAAUACCAAGGCGCUUGAGAGAACUCGGGUGAAGGAACUAGGCAAAAUGGUGCCGUAACUUCGGGAGAAGGCACGCUGAUAUGUAGGUGAAGCGACUUGCUCGUGGAGCUGAAAUCAGUCGAAGAUACCAGCUGGCUGCAACUGUUUAUUAAAAACACAGCACUGUGCAAACACGAAAGUGGACGUAUACGGUGUGACGCCUGCCCGGUGCCGGAAGGUUAAUUGAUGGGGUUAGCGCAAGCGAAGCUCUUGAUCGAAGCCCCGGUAAACGGCGGCCGUAACUAUAACGGUCCUAAGGUAGCGAAAUUCCUUGUCGGGUAAGUUCCGACCUGCACGAAUGGCGUAAUGAUGGCCAGGCUGUCUCCACCCGAGACUCAGUGAAAUUGAACUCGCUGUGAAGAUGCAGUGUACCCGCGGCAAGACGGAAAGACCCCGUGAACCUUUACUAUAGCUUGACACUGAACAUUGAGCCUUGAUGUGUAGGAUAGGUGGGAGGCUUUGAAGUGUGGACGCCAGUCUGCAUGGAGCCGACCUUGAAAUACCACCCUUUAAUGUUUGAUGUUCUAACGUUGGCCCCUGAUCGGGGUUGCGGACAGUGUCUGGUGGGUAGUUUGACUGGGGCGGUCUCCUCCUAAAGAGUAACGGAGGAGCACGAAGGUUGGCUAAUCCUGGUCGGACAUCAGGAGGUUAGUGCAAUGGCAUAAGCCAGCUUGACUGCGAGCGUGACGGCGCGAGCAGGUGCGAAAGCAGGUCAUAGUGAUCCGGUGGUUCUGAAUGGAAGGGCCAUCGCUCAACGGAUAAAAGGUACUCCGGGGAUAACAGGCUGAUACCGCCCAAGAGUUCAUAUCGACGGCGGUGUUUGGCACCUCGAUGUCGGCUCAUCACAUCCUGGGGCUGAAGUAGGUCCCAAGGGUAUGGCUGUUCGCCAUUUAAAGUGGUACGCGAGCUGGGUUUAGAACGUCGUGAGACAGUUCGGUCCCUAUCUGCCGUGGGCGCUGGAGAACUGAGGGGGGCUGCUCCUAGUACGAGAGGACCGGAGUGGACGCAUCACUGGUGUUCGGGUUGUCAUGCCAAUGGCACUGCCCGGUAGCUAAAUGCGGAAGAGAUAAGUGCUGAAAGCAUCUAAGCACGAAACUUGCCCCG